UAUUCUGCCCUACAGGGAAGGAUGAGAAGCUUCGACUAAGGUUCGACUCGAGCGAAGCGAGAGAACGUUGCCGCAGGCAACGGCCCGAAGGGCGAGGCGCUUUAGCGCCGAGUAAUCCUUCCCCCACCAUCA
RNAcentral lists this small RNA (132 nucleotides) under Klebsiella pneumoniae. RNAcentral describes it as "RtT sRNA". It matches the Rfam family "RtT RNA". From Rfam's summary of the family: This family represents a bacterial cis-regulatory element known as RtT RNA. The exact function of RtT is unknown although it is thought that it may be involved in changing the cellular response in relation to amino acid starvation. Lineage: Bacteria; Pseudomonadati; Pseudomonadota; Gammaproteobacteria; Enterobacterales; Enterobacteriaceae. The record is from RNAcentral. RNAcentral also lists the same sequence under 6 other names.